UUUCUUCAUGUGGCUGCAGAUGGCAGGAUUUCCCAAAGAUUUAUGGCUGAAACAUAUUCCGUGGUGUAUCUGUACAGCAGUUUCCUCAUCCCUGCAGCUGUGUUUGAACAGGUUCAACAGUAUGGCUCCAAAUGAUGAAAUUUCAUUUUGAUUUUCUGGCUGAAGACUAUUCUGUUUGUGUGCAUCCCCCACAGUCACUUUAUCCCUUCAUCUGUGGAUGGGCAGGUAUUAAGGAUCAGUUGUCGAUUCAUUCAUUUCACACAUUUCACUAGUGACACUGAAUACUGCAGAGCCAAAGAUGAAA
Nomascus leucogenys (northern white-cheeked gibbon) is the source of this 304-nucleotide long non-coding RNA. RefSeq lists it as uncharacterized. NCBI's taxonomy places the organism in Eukaryota, Metazoa, Chordata, Mammalia, Primates, Hylobatidae. The record is from RefSeq and is a predicted model, not a curated record. The transcript has 3 exons.